AUACUUACCUGGCAGGGGAGAUACCAUGAUCACGAAGGUGGUUUUCCCAGGGCGAGGCUUAUCCAUUGCACUCCGGAUGUGCUGACCCCUGCGAUUUCCCCAAAUGUGGGAAACUCGACUGCAUAAUUUGUGGUAGUGGGGGACUGCGUUCGCGCUCUCCCAUG
Molecule: small nuclear RNA, 164 nt
Filed under: Castor canadensis (American beaver)
Lineage: Eukaryota; Metazoa; Chordata; Mammalia; Rodentia; Castoridae
Description: U1 spliceosomal RNA (ENSCCNG00000016867.1)
Rfam family: U1 spliceosomal RNA
About the family: U1 is a small nuclear RNA (snRNA) component of the spliceosome (involved in pre-mRNA splicing). Its 5' end forms complementary base pairs with the 5' splice junction, thus defining the 5' donor site of an intron. There are significant differences in sequence and secondary structure between metazoan and yeast U1 snRNAs, the latter being much longer (568 nucleotides as compared to 164 nucleotides in human).
Source: Rfam by way of RNAcentral